CUACGGGUGGCUCCAGUGGGGAAUAUUGCACAAUGGGCGCAAGCCUGAUGCAGCCAUGCCGCGUGUAUGAAGAAGGCCUUCGGGUUGUAAAGUACUUUCAGCGGGGAGGAAGGGAGUAAGGUUAAUACCUUUGCUCAUUGACGUUACCCGCAGAAGAAGCACCGGCUAACUCCGUGCCAGCAGCCGCGGUAAUACGGAGGGUGCAAGCGUUAAUCGGAAUUACUGGGCGUAAAGCGCACGCAGGCGGUUUGUUAAGUCAGAUGUGAAAUCCCCGGGCUCAACCUGGGAACUGCAUCUGAUACUGGCAAGCUUGAGUCUCGUAGAGGGGGGUAGAAUUCCAGGUGUAGCGGUGAAAUGCGUAGAGAUCUGGAGGAAUACCGGUGGCGAAGGCGACCCCCUGGACGAAGACUGACGCUCAGGUGCGAAAGCGUGGGGAGCAAACAGGAUUAGAUACCCCGGUAGUC
Molecule: ribosomal RNA, 464 nt
Filed under: uncultured bacterium
Lineage: Bacteria
Description: partial 16S ribosomal RNA
Rfam family: Bacterial small subunit ribosomal RNA
Source: RNAcentral